GUGUGCACGAGCUCGUGUCGGCUGGAGGGAGGUGUGGAUCCACUACCCUUUGCUAAGGGCCACCUUGCUUCCCCAUAGGCAGAUACGUGCUCUUGCACAUGGCCUGGCCAUCUGCAGUCUAAUUCACCCUGCAUCUCACCUGGUGCCAUACCUCCCUUCCCUAAAUAAAAGAGCUGGGAAGCAGCAUGGCAUUGAGAACCAGCCCUGGGUAGCAGAUCAGAGGAGCCUGAGCUUACAUGGUCACACUAGAUGUUAAGCAGGCUUAUUUCCCCUCUGCUCUCCCAUGCUGUCCCAUCUGCACAGGCUGGUAUCUGCAUCCUUGCUUCCUGUUGAUCACACACACUUCAGUGACCCCACUGAUGGCAUCCAUCAACCAGUCAAGGCUCUACAUGUCUCCAGACAGCCGUUAUUCCAAUUCCACAUCGCUACCCUGGAAAAAAAGUCCUCAGCUCCUCUCUAGAGAGGGGUGGGAAUCAAAACAUUGACAGCAAUAUAUGGCCACAGCUACUAAAGUAACUUUACUGAGGAUGGGUUCGUGCCUAGCUGUACCCUGUGCCCUUUCAGUUUGCCUGAAGAGGGCAUGUGGCUCCUCUGUUCCUGUCUAAACACACAGGAAACCGGCCAGCUGCAUGAUCUGACGCUCUAAAUUUGAGCAGCAUCUUCACUGCUUCAUCCUGCCUCUGCAGAGCAGGCAGCGAGCACGCACCUGCAGCUCCGGUUUUGCCUCUUGCUGAGGUCACCAGUUUGUCAUCCGCAGCCCUGAAUGCUGCGCAGCAAGGAGGAGCACGUCUGCGAGUGCAUUCCUGCAGAAGAGGGGAAAUGCAGGGUGGAGCAGCAACCAGCAGCUGACACUGUUUGCUACGCACUUGCUCACCACGAGGCUCAGGACGCUGCCCGCUCCUUGAAUGUUUCCUUGAUUACUUAUUCCCAGCAUACUCACACACACAAACACACACUCACCCGCUUCUCUCAGAAGACUGGAAGGACGGGCUACCAGGAAAACAAUAGCAUUUCUCCCACUCGCAGCUGUGUGACAUUUGUUUUUGUUUCUCCAGGUGGCUUUUCUGUGCUAGCAGAACAUCUCACUCCUCAGAUUUUGACUUCUCUUGCCUCUUCUUGUCGGUGUUGGACACGGCCAUCAGUAGACACAGUUCUGAGCAAUCACCGAGGAAGGUUUUUCUUAUGCACUGUGGUAAUUGUGUCAGAACUCAAGGCAGUCCCACCGGUGUUCAGGUUUCAUCUGCCAUUCCCAGAGGAUUUCAUUACUCCCGCACAACCCUUUUUUCCUAGCAAGAUUUCACAUUGCCAGCGUGGACUUACCAAAUUGAUUCCCCGGAAGAAAAUAUCACGAUUAUAUUCACAAAGCUGAGAGGAAGACAGCCACUUUUUAUUCGCUCAUAAAGGAUGUGGGAGUCCUGGGUUUAAUUUCCUCCUCUGCCUGGGGGAACUAGAACCAGCAUCACUUAUCUCCCAAGAGAAUGCCAUAAGGUUGUGCUGUGCUGCAUACUAAGGUGGGUUGUUCUUACUCCUCACCACUUAUGUGUCCUGAUCUGUGCGGAAGGUCUUUCCAGACCCCAGUAGAGACACUCAUGGACACAAUUCACCUGGCUUCCCCAGUCUGUGCUAAUGAGUACUGCGCUACUAAGGAAUAUGAAAGUGCCAUUGGCAGAGCCUCUCCCAGGGUACCCCUGCUCUUGUGACUGUGGUAUUCUCCUGGAAAAGAAGAAGGGUAGACAGGGAAGCAGAAGAGGGCAUUGAACAUCCUACGCGAGCACAUCAGGCAAACGCAUGUGCUAAAGUUCACAGAGGUGAGAAAGUGCAGCUCAGUCUGCUGGAGAAAAUUACUUGGAGAAGUCAGCACAAGUUAAAGAUGGGAAGACCAAAUUAGUUCAAUCAGAAAGUCUUCCUAAUAUUAACCAAGGACUGUGCUGACAUCAGGCCUGAUGUACAAGAUAAAUGCCAAAAUCAAUGGACCAAAACUCAUGUGCCAGGAGCUAAAGCCAACUGGUGACUGGUGGCAUGUACAUCAUCCUCUGGGGUACAUCCAUUUUGAUACUGAUCCUAGAAUAGGUGGACAGAAAGGAGAAAUGCUGACAGCUGUCGUUGUCAACUUCGAGAUCUAAGUCUCUGCUGUGACACUGUUGGUAUUUCAAGGAACAUUUGGACGUUGUGUUGAAGGACAUGGUUUAGUGAGAACCACUGGUGACAGGUGAAUGGUUGGACUGGAUGAUCCUGUGGGUGUUUUUCAACCUUUGUGAUUCUAUGAUUCUACACUUACUUGAUCUGGUCAGACCUUCUGGUGAGUUUCUGGUGAGGAGAUACAUGGGAGUCAUCGCUAUGUCCACCAAUUUCAGUGCAGUCCUGGAAACCCACUUGGAAGGGAAGACUUGGGGUCCUGAAGCCACCCUUCUCUCAGUAGCUUUGCAGUCUUUUCACAUGCUUCUCUGCCUUUUCUUUCUUUUACCUUCCUUUUAAUCAAACUAUCCUAGAUAGGAGGGUACGGGUUGUACAACACAGCUGUGAACUGCAAUCAAGGAGACAACCAAAAGCAAUGUCUAAAUGAGACAGACGCUGAUAUAAAUCCCCUUGAUCAGAGAGGGGCUGAUAAGUCCAUGUGUUGUGCUUGUCUUUUUCUAGCAGUGAGGCUGCAAGUAAAAGUCAACACCUGAAGAGGAAGUAAUAAUUUUUGUCUUUGCUCUCCUUUCCUCUCCCCUCCUGCAUGCCUGUGUCUUCAAAUGAGCAAAGCAGAAUCCCAAAAUGAGUACUAACAGCAGAUCCAGUCUAUCUCAAUGAGUGUCUCCCAAAAAACAGUGAGUGCUGCUAUGACCUUAAAUAAAGGGAGGGAAGCACUGCUACAAAAACUGUUGACAGCUAAGGGAAGAGGGAUAAUGGACACUUUUAAAGCAUAAAGUCUUAUUUUUCAAGUGCUUAAACUGUUUUUUCUCCUUUUUUGUGUAUCUUUAAUUAAAGAUUAAAAGACUUCUAUUGGUGAUUGUUUGCCAUGGUAACCAAGUAGGCUGAGGUCUCUGUAUUCAAAACCCCAAACCUUUUUAAGUGUUUAAUGUUGCAGAGUGUCUGGGUCGUGUUAGCAUCUUUCACUCAUUGAGCCCACUCCUUCCCCAGAACCUCACAGGACUGUGCCCCGUUGGCCACCAGACUAGAGGGACAGCCUCUCAGCUCCACUAUCCCCCUGUGAGUGGGAUCCCUUCUUCUCACUUCUCUUUUGGGUGCUUGAAUGUUUUGCUUUCAAUUAAAUGCAAUUUUCACUGUGAAAUACAGCUAUUCCUUUGCAGUUUUUCAGCAAGAGACAUAAAACCUAACCAGACUCAUCUGUUCCUACUGAGGUGAUGUUUUCUUCUUUCCUGCUGAACCAAACAGCACUUAUUCAUAUCUCGCUGCUAUUUUUAAGAGUGGGGCCCAGCUGUAUGGCAUUCAGAAGCACCACUAAAACUUCAACAGCAGAGUACACAUCAUAGUACAUUCUGGUUAGAGAAAUGACUGGCAGUCAUUUUUGCAAUGAGUGCUGUCUGUAUCGAUGCAUGUGUGCGUAUUUAUUACAUUAGUCACCUCCGCUACUAGAAUGACUUGCAAUUAAGAUUGCUGUAGUACCUGAAAUGUCACAUUGCUUGCCUUCAUUCUGAAAGGGGCACUGCCUUAACCAGAUAAAGCAAAGAGAGACAUAUGAGGGCAUGACCAGACUUAUCCUUAUAACCACAUUAGAAUGGCUGGAAAUGUUACCACUUCUCAGCAGAGAAGUAUAUUUUAGCUGGGACAGAGUCACUGGCCGCAUGUAAGCUCUCAGUCUCUUGAACUGCAAAGCAAGAUGACUUUCAGACGUGAAAGGAACUAACCCAUUUCAUUUUGCAUUUGCCAUACAUGCCCAUAGGGUUCUCACAUCUUCGCUGAGAGACAACCACCUCCAACCACAGUGGCACACAUUUCCUAAGUUCUUAUAGUGUGACACAAAGAACAUAAGCUGAUACGCAAACACAGUAAUUAGUAUAGGAGUACCCACCUGGCUGAUGCGCUGCAUCCGUUUGCUUGUGCUCAGAGGUUGGUAUGAGCUUACAUUUUAUCUCACGUGUGAAGUGUGGAGCCAGGACCUGCCCCUCCAGCAGGUUAUGGCAUGUGCUCGCUGCUUGGGCCUCCCAGGAACUCCAGCAGGUCACUGAGAAUCACAGUGCAAGGCACCAACAGUCCUGGUCUUUGUUCACAAGGCCCUUUCCUUCGAACAGCAUAGAAAAACAAUCAGAUCACUUACUGUCAGUGGGCAGCGUUGAACCCUGAAUAUUGGGAUGGCUGCAUGGCAUAGACAAGCCGUUCAACUUACUCUUUUGCUCUUCUGAACUAAUCAACUCGGAUGGUCAAACUGGCACAAAAGUACGUUUUCUUGUGUUUGGUUUGGUUAUUUUUUUUCCCCCACAGGACUCAUUCGCUUAUGUCAAUCAACUUGAAACAAAAUCAAAUACAAGUUUCCAUGUUUGUGGGUCUCCCGGAGAGGAAAAGGCAGUAAGCAUGUUUGCUGCUAUCCUUUUUCCUUUCAAAUGUUUGUAUUUCAUGAAUUACUCUUGCCACAAAAGUGUUCAUAGUAAAUGCAGAGGAAAGAACAAGAUUACCUGCUUUGAACGCCAUCAGAUUUACGCAUUUGGACAGGAUCUCAUCUGCCAGGUGGUAGAAGAACUUCUGAGUAACUACAAUGAAGUACCCAAGCCAAAGGUUUGGAAAAUUGAUCUGCAGGUAGUACUUAGGGUGACUUAUAUGCUCGUUCAGGCUGCUGUGCUGGUUUCGGGUAGGACAAAACACUCUUUUCUUCUUCUUUUUUUCUUCCAAAAACAUUGUCAGUUCCCUAUAGGCCUGCUCUGCAGGGCUCUAUGGCCAGUUUCCCUAUCGUCUUAAAACAACCCUCCAAACACCUGCUAUCUUUCAAACACCUUUUAUUUUGUACGCCAUAGUAUGAAGUUUUUGUGUGGUUGUUCAAGUCCUUAGUGAAUGUCAGUGGUAGUCUCUGAAAACACCUGACUAAGUAGGAACCAUCUAACCCUUGGGAGCUAUUGACUGCUGCCUCCAAGGGCGUAAUUAGCAAGUGGCAGAACUUGCCAUGCAGGUCAUGUUUUACAAGAUCUCACAGUAUCGGUAUUGAUUAUGAUUAGAUUAGAUUGGGCUGAUGGUAAAUGCUUAUUUAUGAGAUUUUCAGGCAAAUAGUGAAUAUCUUGUCAUGAGCAUCACCAAGUAUGCUUUUCACACAACUCUAGGAUGAGUUAUAAACUUCAUAUAUGCAUGUGCAUGUGUAUGAUAGAAGAGAGAGGACAAGCCACAGAAAGGCCAGGAUCCUGUAUUUAACACCUUACAAGCUGAAGGCACAAAUGAGUUCAACACACCAAGAGGGAAUUUCACAUUAAAAAGAACAGCUUUUGGAAACCCCUAUUCUGCACUUGCCUGCCAGCCGAUGGCACAUAUAAGGAAGAUGGCAGCAAAUACAAUCGGGCUGGCACACCAUGUGUUAUUGCCUUGACACUGAUUGUAAGGAGAUUUUCACACACUUGCGCAAGGGAGAAUGUUAUUUUUCAGUCCUUCCAAAUAUGUCGGUGGUUUUCUGAACCCUUAAAACUCCAUGCAUCUGUUAGAAAAUGUCUGUUUUAUUCCCAGCUGGUUUUGCUGCUCAAGCCAGGGUGCCUGCAGCCUGCUAGAUGUGCUGGAGCAUUCACAGCGUCUGCACGCAGCUGCGGACAUGACGGAGGACCUAACAGAUACCGUGCCUUUGUAAAGCUGCCGCUGAAGGGAGACCUGAAGUAUCUCAUAUAUCUCUUCUUGCCUACGGUUAGGGAGCUGAAUCCUACCCAUUUCUUAUUUUCAUUUCCACUUGGAUUUCCUGACGUCUUCUUUACCCUCCCCUUUCUUAUUCCUGCUUCUUCAGCAACAAAGCGGGAAAGGUCUAUAAGGAGGAGAGAGAAAGAACUUAAAAAAAAAAAAAUAAGGAACAUUUGUUAAUUUCAGAAGGAAUCAGAAUCGUAUAAAGUCUUACCACAAAAUAAUUUAUUUGGUUUAAAGAGCUUUAUCCUUUUUUUUUUCUUCUGGUUCUCACAACACCAGUGCAGCUUGGAGCCUCCUUAGCGGUCUGGAAGACAAGUCAGAGGGCCACAAGCAUUGAUGCUGUUGCUGACCUCCUGCAUGGCCUUGGUUGCCCCACUUUGUCUUCAGAGGAAUAGCAGAACAAACCCCCUGUACAGUUCCAUAAAGAUUUGAGGUAUUUUAAGUACAGGUUCUCUUAUAUGCCUGUAAGAAUUAUUUCAAAACCUCACGUAAGAGAAGAGGUGGUUUUACUGGCAAAUGAGCAUAGAAAAUGAGAGUAGAAAUUGCCCUUCUAGCAAGAAAGACAGCAGAUCUUCAGACUGUGAAGUCUGUGGGUGUUUGUGUGUGUCUGUGUGCAGCAGGGGAUGAAGCAAUAAUUUACUGCUUUCCAAAAAGCAGCAGAUGGAUCUAACUGCCUCGGUAUUGGAAGCCCUUGGUCCUGGAGUCAUUGAUUUGGCUAAGCCCUCUUUCCAGCCAUUGCUCAAUGCAAAGUGAUGGCCACAGCCAGACCUGCCCCUGGAGGUAGCACUGGGGAGCAGUGAGGUUCUGUGGCAGAGGAUCUGGGGCUCACCACUGGCCAAGGGCCAUGCAUGCCUCUGUAGGAAAGCUCCAAUAGAAGUUACCAUCCUGCCUUGAGAAAUCAGGCCAUGGAAAGAGAAAGAAGCUGGGUUCCCACCAGCGUUUCAAACCCAUGAAAUAUUAUAGGCUCCAGAAAGCAGAUUUAUGCAGUUCACUCUGAUAAGGAAAGCUCCAUUGUGAAACUUCUGUUGCUGUUUUCAUAUUUGAACGCCUUUAAUUUUCUUUUCCUUUGAGGUUUUAUCUUCUCUUUGGCAUGAGGCAGUGCCAAUUCCCAGGUGCUCUGCCAUUAGGGAGGCCAAGCCUUGACGGAAACACCUCGCCCAGAGAAAGCUGACACUGAGGGCUCUCCGAUGCCCUUCAGGCAAAAUGCAGCGGCCCUCUGUUUGCUGCGUAGUUGGCAACAGAAGCAGUCCUGGUGAUGGGAGAGGCUAGCAAAGAAAGGAGUUGUGGCCCAGGUGCAGAUGACAGGCCAACUGUUAGUUGCCACUUGUUGCUUCACCUACUAUGAAGGUCUGGGCAGGUGUGAAACAGCAGGGAGCUGGGCGCUCAUCUCUGUGCCCGCUGCCUCUACUUGCAAGCCCACCAGUGACCCUCUAGGGCCAUUGCCCAGCCCUUACAGACCCGUGGAUCCAGGCAGGGAAGAGCAAGCAGCUGUUUUUCUUCCCCAGCACGGGAACUUCAACCAGUGUGAUCUGUCAGGCUGCUGUGAUCCCAC
RNAcentral lists this long non-coding RNA (7363 nucleotides) under Gallus gallus (chicken). RNAcentral's name for it is "lncRNA (ENSGALG00010003481.1)". Lineage: Eukaryota; Metazoa; Chordata; Aves; Galliformes; Phasianidae. The record is from RNAcentral.